RNAcentral lists this small nuclear RNA (141 nucleotides) under Lasius niger. Its description in RNAcentral is "U4 spliceosomal RNA". It matches the Rfam family "U4 spliceosomal RNA". From Rfam's summary of the family: U4 small nuclear RNA (U4 snRNA) is a component of the major U2-dependent spliceosome. The structure of U4 snRNA from yeast and human has been reported. RNAcentral also lists the same sequence under 2 other names. Lineage: Eukaryota; Metazoa; Arthropoda; Insecta; Hymenoptera; Formicidae. The record is from Rfam by way of RNAcentral.
AUCUUUGCGCAGUGGCGAUAUCGUAACCAAUGAGGUUCUACCGAGGUGCGAUUAUUGCUAGUUGAAAACUUUUACCAAUACCCCGCCAUGACGAUGUGAAAUACCAUCGGCUACGGCAAUUUUUGAAAGUUUCUGCGGAAA